This 433-nucleotide ribosomal RNA is filed under the name uncultured bacterium. RNAcentral describes it as "partial 16S ribosomal RNA". It matches the Rfam family "Bacterial small subunit ribosomal RNA", at positions 29 to 507 of the family's 1533-position model. The record is from RNAcentral.
CACUAACGCUGGCGGCAGGCCUAACACAUGCAAGUCGAGCGAGGACUUCGGUUCUAGCGGCGGACGGGUGAGUAACGCGUGGGAAUGUGCCCUUCUCUACGGAAUAGCCCUGGGAAACUGGGAGUAAUACCGUAUACGCCCUAUUGGGGAAAGAUUUAUCGGAGAAGGAUCAGCCCGCGUUGGAUUAGGUAGUUGGUGGGGUAAUGGCCUACCAAGCCGACGAUCCAUAGCUGGUUUGAGAGGAUGAUCAGCCACACUGGGACUGAGACACGGCCCAGACUCCUACGGGAGGCAGCAGUGGGGAAUCUUAGACAAUGGGGGCAACCCUGAUCUAGCCAUGCCGCGUGAGUGAUGAAGGCCUUAGGGUUGUAAAGCUCUUUCAGCUGGGAAGAUAAUGACGGUACCAGCAGAAGAAGCCCCGGCUAACUCCGUG